AUGCACAUGCAUGAUACUCUACUACCGUACCAUACUUCCACUACGACCAGCCUUCUUUUUUUAGACAAACCAUCCAUUAUAAUCUAUGCCGUCUAUCAUCAAUCGGGCGGUCCAUUUUCGUUUCUUCUCUUUCCUUCAUCUGAAAGCCCAGAUUCAUUCCACUGCAGUCGCCCCCCACUCGUCCAGCCGACCACCCGACCGUCACCUACUCCGGCGAUCCUCACCGCCGGCCCGAUGCCUCCACCACCACCCCGGCACCUGGCCGGAGACCCCAACCCCAAACCCGCGCCCGCCACCUCGCAUUCCGGCAUGGUCAAGCUCCUCGCCGACCUCCUCCACCACACCGUGCCGUCCGCCUGGCCGCCGGCGCUCGCGGCGCCGCUGCUCCGGAGCCGCCUCGCCCCGGCCCACGUUUCCUCGCUCCUCCUCCUCCCGGCCUCGCUCGCCCGCCCGGACCUCUCCCGCCGCUUCCUCCUCCUCCUGCCUCCCCACCUCGUCUCUCCGCUCUGCCUCUCCCUCCUCGCGCUCUCCUUCAUCUCCGCCCCUGCCUCGCCGUCCCGCUCCCGCUCCCCCUCCCCGCACGCCGCCUCCCUCCUGCUCUCCCUCGCGUCCUCCUCCCCGUCCGCCUCCACCUCGUUCUCCUCCCUCUCCCACGCCUCCUCCCUCUCCCCCUUCCCGCCUGGCGCCACCGCCGCCGCCGCCUCGCUUCUCGCCUCCUCCUACCUCCGCCUCCGCCGCGCCCGCGACGCGGCCGCCGUCCUUCACCUCUCCCUGUCCGCCGGCAUCACUCCCAACCAGUAUACGGCUUCCCACAUUUUGUUUUCCCUUGUCAAGAUUCGUCAGUUCACCCUUGCCCGUGCCCUGUUCGAUGAAAUGCUUCGGUCCGGUGCUCGCCUGGACGAGCACAUUUACACGGCUGGGAUUCGGGCUUACUGCGAGGCCAGAAAUCUUGACGGUGCCAAGGGGCUUCUGGCAAGGAUGCAUCAUGAGGGGGUCAAGGUCAGUGUGGUGCCGUACAAUGUAUUGAUUUACGGAUUGUGCAGGAAUCAUCGCAUUCAGGAGGCAGUGGAGGUAAAGAACAGCAUGGUGGCCAGAGGAAUCAAAGCUGAUGAAGUGACUUACCGUACGCUCGUGUAUGGGUUUUGUCGGGCGGAGGAGCUGGAAAUGGCAUUGAGAAUGACAUAUGACAUGGCCAGGCUGGGGUUUGUGCCAUCAGAGGCCAAUUGCUCAUUUAUGCUUGAUGGGCUACGAAAGAGGGGGGAUGUUCGGGAGGCUUUCAGGUUAGCUUGUCAGUUGGGCGAGUUGGGCAUGGUGCCCAACAUAUUUGCAUAUAAUGCCUUGCUUGAUAACCUGUGCAAGAGCGGUAUGUUUUGCGAGGCAGAUCGGCUUUUCAGUGAGAUGGUAGACAGGGGUCUGGAGCCAAAUGAGGUGACUUAUCCUAUAUUGAUACAUUCACUUUCGAAAAGGGGGAUGAUGGAGGAUGCACUUGACCUGUUCGAUAGGAUGAGGGAGAAGGGUGUCAGAGUGACAGUCUAUCCGUACAAUUCCUUGAUUAAUGGUUGCUGCAAACAGGAUGAUUUAGACAGGGCGAUGGGCUUCCUGAGUGAGAUGACUGACAUUGGAGUGACACCAAAUGCAGCUUCAUAUUCUCCACUAAUUGCUGGUUUCUGUAGAAAAGGGGAUCUAACCAGUGCCAUGGAACUCCACCGGGAGAUGGCUCAGAAGGGUGUUGCAUGGAACACUUAUACGUUCACAGCACUUAUCAAUGGUUUGUGCAAGAAUAAAAAGAUGGAUGAAGCUUCUCAGUUGUUUAAUAAGAUGAUUGACAGCAACCUAGUACCAAAUGAAGCAACUUAUAAUGUCAUGAUAGAAGGGUAUUGCCUGGUAGGCAAUAUAAGAAAGGCAUUCCAGUUGUAUGAUCAAAUGGUUGAUAGCGGCCUCACACCUGACAAUUACACGUAUAGACCAUUGAUAACUGGAUUAUGCUUGACCAGUGGAGCGUCGAAAGCAAAGGAAUUUGUUGCUGACCUAGAAAACAACUGCCCGCUGAACAAAUUUAGCCUAACCGCACUUAUGCAUGGAUUGUGCAGAGAAGGAAGGUUGACCGAAGCUUACCAUGUCUGGAAUGAGAUGGCAAUGCAGGGAGUCAAUCUUGAUCUUGUCAGCUUCACCAUUAUUGUGUAUACAGCCUUGAAGCACCAUGAUACGGAAAAAUCAUGCGUGUUAUUGAGGGAGAUGACAGAAAAAUGUGUCAGGCUAGACAGUGUGUUCCAUACAUGCAUGAUUGACAUGCACUCAAAAGAAGGAAAUAUGGUCCAAGCUUUAAACUGUUGGGAUAACAUGAUUACUGAUGGCUGCUUUCCAAAUACCAUCACAUAUACAGUUUUAGUAAAUAAUCUCUGCAAGUCCGGGCAUUUGAGCAGCGCAGAGGUCCUCUGUAAAGAAAUGUUAUCCAGUCAGUUCCUUCCUAACAAUUAUACUUUUAAUUGUUUUCUUGAUUGUUUUACAACUGAAGGUAAACUGGAGAAAGCUAAAGAUCUUUAUUUCGCCAUGCUUCGAGGCUCUCUUGCUAACACAGUGACAAUUAACACAUUGAUCAAGGGGUUAUGUAAGGUUGGGCAGAUUCAAGAGGCAAUUGACCUUAUUAGUAAGUGUACUGAAAAUGGUCUUUUUCCUGAUUGCAUUAGCUAUUCUACUGUAAUACAUGAGCUCUGCAAGAAGGGUGAUACAAAUAAAGCGUUUGAGCUUUGGAAUGAAAUGCUGUACAAGGGAUUGAAGCCUGACAUUGUAGCAUAUAAUAUUUUGAUAAGGUGGUGCAAUGUUAAUGGUGAACUUGAGAAGGGUUUGGGAAUAUACAAUGAUAUGAUUAAGAAAGGGGUGCAACCGAACUGGUGCACAUAUAGAGCUCUUUUCUUAGGAAAUUCUCUGAUGACCAGCAAGCGAGAUACUAUACUGCUGAAUACC
This 2964-nucleotide ribosomal RNA is filed under the name Triticum aestivum (bread wheat). RNAcentral describes it as "partial small subunit ribosomal RNA". The record is from RNAcentral. Lineage: Eukaryota; Viridiplantae; Streptophyta; Magnoliopsida; Poales; Poaceae.